RNAcentral lists this long non-coding RNA (1398 nucleotides) under Gallus gallus (chicken). RNAcentral describes it as "lncRNA (ENSGALG00010002924.1)". Lineage: Eukaryota; Metazoa; Chordata; Aves; Galliformes; Phasianidae. The record is from RNAcentral.
GGAAUAUUGAGAACAAUAAGUGAAAUUCAAACUUUUAAACUUUGUAAUUAAUUUUCAUUCCGGAGAACUAAGAGAAUCCAGGAAAGUAGAUUCUCAAGUACUGAGGUGACCAACAUUUCUAAAAUUCAUCAGCAAGCAAGCUUUUGCUGAGUAAACUAUAAACUUCCACUCUAUUGCAGAAUGACUGUUGGUUUCUGCCUCAUAAAAUCUAAAUGUAGCCUUUUUUUUUUUUUUUCAAAGAGUUAAUCAAAGUACACCACCAAGAAUAAGUCAUUUCAAGAAUUAUCAUCAAUGAACUUGCUUGAACCCAGCCCAGCUGCUGUGUGCAGCUUCAAACAGUUGCUACACUCUCCCUCCCUUGCCUAUCACAACUUUCUGGAAAAUUGUGGAGUAACUGUUACAGCUACAAAGAAAUCUGCCGAAAAGUUGGCACCAAAGCUUUGUCUGAUGUUCAGAGACCUAAGCAACUUUACUGGAUCAAUAAGAAGCACUGAUCCAUUCAGGAAGCCUUUCCUGGACUUCUCCCUUGUGGCAGCUCCAGAGCUUUAACACUCCAGGUGGAGUGGAUCUGGCUCCAGGUAGAGUCUGUCAGUAUUUUCAUCAGAGUAUAUAUCUUUCAUAAACAUGAAAAAGGCAGGUUUAGAAGUACUCAAGAACUCUUAGAAUCAGAUUUCAUUUUAUCACGUUCUUUGCCUAAACCAAUAAAACAAACUUCCCUUAAACUCCUGAUAAUACAUUGGGAAACACUUUUAUUUCUCUGUUGCAAUGCUCUACAAGAAAUUGUAUUAUUUUCUGCUUUUUAAAUACUAUAUGUGUGCCAUUUCCCUUGAAAUAUGUUAAAAAAAAAAAAAAGUAAAGAUGUUUAAAAUGACAGUGAAAUUUCUGUUUCAGGUUAUGUUAAAUAUUUUGUACAGUUCAAGUGUUCAAAAAUGUUUGAUUGGCUGAAUAUUUUUCUUUUUGUCAGAUCAUCCUGUGAUCAUUCCUGUCAGAUCAUUCCUGUGACUGGAAGCAUUAGCAUUCACUUAGCUUUAGUCACUGACUCUUUAAUUUAAAUCUCUACCUGGAAAAAAUUGUUUUCAGCAUAGAGUAACCCCUGGACUCUUCCCACAGUGCCCCUACAUCUCUGACCUGCUAACAAAACUUUGCCAAAUACACCCAUUGCAAUGGGUUUCCCAAAUCAUCCUUUCCUGUUCCUUUAUUUAUUCCAGACUGUCAGGACACUGAACUGAAGACUGGUAGAGCUUGUAAUGAUGUCAGCAACAUAUAGAGAGAGAGAAGAGGGGAGAGAGACAUUCAUCUUAUAUGGCUAAAACUUAAAAGGCAUCUCUCCAGGUCUAAGAAAGUUAUAAGAUGCCCAAAUCAGCUCAUACUGAAAAAUGCUUGCUUACUACUGCCAGU